Hemicordylus capensis (graceful crag lizard) is the source of this 2839-nucleotide long non-coding RNA. RefSeq lists it as uncharacterized. NCBI's taxonomy places the organism in Eukaryota, Metazoa, Chordata, Lepidosauria, Squamata, Cordylidae. The record is from RefSeq and is a predicted model, not a curated record. The transcript is spliced from 3 exons.
ACAAUGCAGGCAGGCAGCAAUUGCUCGACUCUCAGCCUCCACUCCCCAGCCUGGCUAUGCACAAUAGGAGAUAGGGUGGUCUGAGAACACAGGGUGGCUACCCUGAUGGAGAAUAGCAUUCUUGGCCCUCAGGAGAUCGUUAGGUAGCAAGUUGGCUGCAAUGAGAAGCAAUGAGAGCAGGCAAGCAGCGUGGCAGCCCCAGCCUCGUGUGUAUGUGUGUGUCUCCCAGGCCUAGCUCAGACCCACUGCAGCAGACUGCAUGAGAUGUUAUGUGCAGGUCAGUGGGAAGUUUCUUCCAUUCCCCCUCCCCUCCCCCCAAAAAAAGAGUUUUCAGUUUUGAAACGGUGCAUUGCAGCUUAUUUUGCAGCAGCUGUGGGGGUGGCGAGGGGUGGUGAAGGGGGCCUCAAGUAGUGGCAGGGGCCUUGAGGGGGCGGCCUCCAAAGCCUUGAGGUCCAGGCUCCAAAACUACCUAGGUGUGCCACUACCUGUCUCUUAGGUAAACAGGGAAACAGGCUCAACCACAUAGGCCUUGGCUCCUUAGAUGUGACGGUGGCCCCUUCUUUCUGACAGUGGCCUCUUCUUUUAUUUUACCUCAGAACUCCUAGGCCUCAGUGUUCCUAUUUGGCUUCUACAACCCUCUGUCCUUGAAUCUCACAAGCAAAAAGGGCUGCUAAGUUCCUUUUAAGGCUCAGAGGGUUUAGGACUUUUAAGCAUGACAGGAAGUCAUCCCACUGGUGCAAUUUGACCUUUUGUAUUAAGAUAGUAAAAUGAAACAAAAUGAAGGAAGAGGCCACUGUCGUAUAGAAGCUGCAACAUUAACACUCCUAAGCAUUUGAGGUAGGGAAGUGCAUGGGCCGUGGUUCAAGCACAGUUUGGGAGUGUGGCCCAGGAGGAGUGUUAAGAAAGAGGAGAGCAGGUCCUUACCUGCUCUCCGUUGCCCCAGGCAGCUUCCUGCUGGGGCAGUGUGCAUCCCAAGAAUCUCUGCGCGGCGCCAGAACACACAUGGUGUCCACGCAUGCACCGGUGCCAUUUGCCUGGUCAGCAUGUUGUUGCUCUUGAACUGUGCUUGAACUACGGUUCAUUCACAUCUCUAAUUUGAGGCCUAUGUGAGAGGACAGGCCCAAUCUACCUUAGGGACAUGAGUAGAAAACCCUCCAAAUGUAAUAAGGAUUGAAUUUAUGUUCAAGAAGAGAGUUCUCUUUCCUGGGGUGGGGGACAAAUGUCAACCAGCCCUGACAGAAGUUAUUCUCAGCUGUUACUAGGGCAAAAGGCAAAACGAUCAGGAAAAAGGCACUGUUCACCCCGCCUUCUCCUCACAUUUGCUCCCCACCCCUUUUUUAAAGGCAGAGAAAUAUCAAAUAAAAAUAAUUUCCCCUUAUACUGGUAUGCCAUGUAAGAGGCUGAUUUGGGGGGGAGGGCAGAUCUUUUGACUUACAAAACUCGUUCUAAUUACUAAACUUGUGGUCUUCACUCCACUCCCUUGAAACUGUUCAAACGCACACCCACCACGUCCACGCAGUUGCUUCCUUUUUUUUUUAAAGGGGGUAGGGGGGAAAUCAAAUAAAAAUAAAGUAUUGGAGAAAAAUAACCCUUUAAUAAUUUAUUUGUAUUAACUUUGAAACAGUCCUGACAUAUCAACAACACUGAUUUCUCACGGAACACCUUUUCUCUUCUCACUGCAUCUACCCAAGUUUCCCAUCGCUUCUUUUCUGUAGGUAUAUACACAUCCCGCCCCACACCCGCCGUGUGCUUUUUCUUGUGCUCUUGCAAAGUGGUACUAUACACUACUUGUACCUUCUGGGUUUUUCAAAAUCACGAUUGUUUUUGAUCAGAUUACUGCAGGAAACAUCACUCUCUAUACUCUGAAUUAUGAGGCCUAAAGAAAAAGCACAGUAAUGAUGUCACAGCAGAGCCAACAAAACUGCUGUCUGUAUAGGAGACAUCCCCAUUGUCAUUUGUUUGAAUAUAAAUGCACUGGCUUUUCUCUCCCGCCCUGCACAGCCACAGCAGCACCUCCCAAAGCCACAGAAGCCCUCAGCGGCACUAGAUAGCCUUGGAAAGAAAAGGCACUCGUUUUCCAAGCCAUGUUAGUUAUUUACUCCAACCCAGAGGAGAGAGGGCCAACUAUGAACAAAGUUCAUGCAUUAGUUGGAGGCAAGGAAGCACUUUGGAUCUGACACAUUAAAACAAAUUCAGAUGCCAGCAUUGAAGACUUUAAUUUGGAAGACUGGAGCUGACCCUUGAAAGGAUUGUCCCAAAGCCGAAAGAACUGAGAAGAUUCCCAGGAUGCCCAACUCAGUUCUACACCUCUCUGCUGCUCUCCAAUGAUGAACUCGCCAUCACGUACAACAUUGCCAAAUUCUGUGUGGCAGCGUGCAAGGUUCGCUGGGUCCUGACAGCCAGCAGGUCCUGACCAGGAUGAUUUCUACGCUCAACUACACAGAAGUCUUUACAUUCCUGUAUUUGUACAGUUGCUACGCACUCUAUCCACACACCCUGCUUAUAUACUUUACUUCAUUUUAAGAGUUUUUAAAAAAUAUUUUAAAUCUUACCGCUAUCAGUGAUACUGUUUAUACAGCUCGUCAGCUUUUAGCAAUAGUCUUUUACAUUCUUACAGUUGUAUAGCUUUACACUUUUAUAUACCCUGCAUAGUUUUUAAAAUUAAAAUUUAGAGUUUUAGUGCUACUGUUCAUACAGCUAAACAGCUUUUAACAAUACUAUUUUAUAUUCUUCCAUUUUAUACCUUGCCCUUUGUAAAUUAGACACACCCACAUAACCUUCUAUGCUUGUACUUACUUAUGCUGGUCUAAGACCGUAAUAAAGAUGAUUCGUCAAGACA